Molecule: non-coding RNA, 24 nt
Filed under: Arabidopsis thaliana (thale cress)
Lineage: Eukaryota; Viridiplantae; Streptophyta; Magnoliopsida; Brassicales; Brassicaceae
Source: RNAcentral
AGAGGAUGUUGAGAGAGAACACUU